This 253-nucleotide ribosomal RNA is filed under the name uncultured bacterium. Its description in RNAcentral is "partial 16S ribosomal RNA". It matches the Rfam family "Bacterial small subunit ribosomal RNA", at positions 524 to 776 of the family's 1533-position model. The record is from RNAcentral.
GACGAAGGAUGCAAGCGUUAUCCGGAUUCAUUGGGUUUAAAGGGUGCGUAGGCGGCCUUAUAAGUCAGUGGUGAAAUCUCUGGGCUUAACCCAGAAAUUGCCAUUGAUACUGUAGGGCUUGAGUAUAGUUGCCGUUGGCGGAAUAUGACAUGUAGUGGUGAAAUACAUAGAGAUGUCAUAGAACACCGAUUGCGAAGGCAGCUAACGAAACUAUAACUGACACUCAGGCUCGAAAGUGCGGGGAUCAAACAGG